RNAcentral lists this ribosomal RNA (482 nucleotides) under uncultured bacterium. RNAcentral describes it as "partial 16S ribosomal RNA". It matches the Rfam family "Bacterial small subunit ribosomal RNA", at positions 30 to 507 of the family's 1533-position model. The record is from RNAcentral.
AUUGAACGCUGGCGGCAUGCUUUACACAUGCAAGUCGAACGGUAACAGCACUUCGGUGGCUGACGAGUGGCGCACGGGUGAGUAAUACAUCGGAACGUGCCUAGUAGUGGGGGAUAACUACUCGAAAGAGUAGCUAAUACCGCAUGAGAUCUAAGGAUGAAAGCAGGGGACCUUCGGGCCUUGCGCUACUAGAGCGGCUGAUGGCAGAGUAGGUAGUUGGUGGGAUAAAAGCUUACCAAGCCGACGAUCUGUAGCUGGUCUGAGAGGACGACCCGCCACACUGGGACUGAGACACGGCCCAGACUCCUACGGGAGGCAGCAGUGGGGAAUUUUGGGCAAUGGGCGCAAGCCUGAUCCAGCAAUGCCGCGUGCAGGAUGAAGGCCUUCGGGUUGUAAACUGCUUUUGUACGGAACGAAAAGCCCUCUUCUAAUACAGGAGGGUCGUGACGGUACCGUAAGAAUAAGCACCGGCUAACUACGUG